UACAAUUGAGACAGGUGGUGCAUGGUUGUCGUCAGCUCGUGUCGUGAGAUGUUGGGUUAAGUCCCGCAACGAGCGCAACCCUUGUGUUUUAGUUGCAAACAGGUCAAGCUGUGCACUCUAGACAGACUGCCGUGGACAACACGGAGGAAGGUGGGGAUGACGUCAAAUCAUCAUGCCCCUUAUGAUCUGGGCUACACACGUGCUACAAUGGCCGGUACAACGGGCAGCGAAGGAGCGAUCCGGAGCGAAUCCUAAAAAAGCCGGUCCCAGUUCGGAUUGCAGGCUGAAACUCGCCUACAUGAAGUUGGAGUUGCUAGUAAUCGCGAAUCAGAAUGUCGCGGUGAAUGCGUUCCCGGGUCUU
Molecule: ribosomal RNA, 361 nt
Filed under: uncultured Fusibacter sp.
Lineage: Bacteria; Bacillati; Bacillota; Clostridia; Eubacteriales; Fusibacteraceae
Description: bacterial SSU rRNA
Rfam family: Bacterial small subunit ribosomal RNA
Source: RNAcentral